Long non-coding RNA from Magnolia sinica, 791 nucleotides. RefSeq lists it as uncharacterized. The transcript is spliced from 3 exons. The record is from RefSeq and is a predicted model, not a curated record. Lineage: Eukaryota; Viridiplantae; Streptophyta; Magnoliopsida; Magnoliales; Magnoliaceae.
UUACUCUGUUAUAGGAUCUUGCUAAAUCCCCUUUUUAAAUUUAGAGAAAGUCAGUAAAUGUUUUAGCUAUUAGACUAUCAAAAAUACAUCGAGGGCAUCGAUUCUCAAAUUAGCAAUAUGCUGACUUUCAUUUUGUAGGAUGCCAGAGGCAAGGAGAUUGAGGAUGUAUUAUUUCUCUCGGAGAUCAUUUGUACCGUAUGGACUAUAUGGACUUGGUUCAGGGCCAUCGUCAAAGUGGCGCAGAUAUUACUAUUGUUUGUCUCCCUAUGGAUGACAGUCGUGCCUCAGACUUUGGUUUAAUGAAGAUAGACAACAAAGGGUUCUUUUCUUUAAUGAAAAGCCCAAGGGAGAGGAAUUGAAAGCAAUGGUAAUUAUCCCGAUACCUUUAUGUUUGCAUCUACUAAUAGGAUUAGACUGAAAUUAGACCUCAUGAGUAUGAAGCGAUUCUACAAUUUUGCAUGAUUGCGUGAUCUUCAUUUCAAAUUCCUUGGGCGUUGGAUACUACAGUUUUGGGCCUGUCACGAGAGGAGGCUGAAAAGAAACCAUACAUUGCUUCCAUGGGAGUGUAUGUCUUCAAGAAGGAGAUACUCUUGAAUCUUCUAAGGUAUGGUAUUCAAGCUGCAUGUAGAUUCUAUGAUUUUUAAAAGAAGAUGAAAUUGAAGUUUGAUAAGAAAUGUUCCCUACAUAUCUGAUCCUGUGAACCGUCACAUCUUUUGUUCGAAAUGAGUGACAACGCACAUGAAUUGGCGUGCAGAAAAUUUAAUUAAAGUUCCUUGUGUGAUUCAUUACUA